CUACGCGCUGGUUCAAAGUCUGGGUUU
This 27-nucleotide small RNA is filed under the name Bombyx mori (domestic silkworm). RNAcentral describes it as "ovarian small RNA-14621". The record is from RNAcentral. Lineage: Eukaryota; Metazoa; Arthropoda; Insecta; Lepidoptera; Bombycidae.